GGACCAGAAUUCCUUUAGAACCUCCACUCAUAGAUACCUCCCCAAAUGCUCUAGAAGACUAAUUCACACUCCAGAAGAGGAUCCCACCCCCCAUACCAUCCAUUUUGAGGAGAACUGGUCAAGUGUUUUGUAGGAUGCCCCUCUAUUGGAAUUUGUCUGAUGUUUUCUUCAGGAUUUGAGUGGGGCUGUGAGUUUCUCAAAGACACAGCCAGAGGACCCUUUGAACUUCAAGAACCACACAAAUGUUACUGUUCCCUUCAAGACCUUCAAAAGCUCCCAAGCCUAUGCUUUUAGGAAGCCUUAAGUAUUCGCCUUGAAAAUUCUCAUCAGUGUUAUAAAUUAAAUGUGUGUGUUUCUGGCCAAGCUGCACUGCAAAUGGAGGUUUUUACAUCACACCUGAAAAACCUGUUAGCUGGGGAGGAAAUGAAUAUCUCAGUUGUUCAGUGUUUGGCCCUAGUUUUUUAAAAAGCCCAGAAGUAAAUUUUACUUGUAUGAGCAAAGGCUUGAUGAUAGCAAAGGCUCCUGAGUAGAUAGCAAUUAAGCAAAAGAACUUUUUCCAUGUAUUUAUUUCUUAAAAGAACUGGCCUGGCCAAAGCACUGCUCAGAUGACUCAUUGAUCUUUGCCUUUGGCUCAUGCCAGAGCCUUGCCUGCUGGGUUUUCUGAGUUUCUGGUGAAGCCUUCAGUGCGCCAUGCAGGAAGUGAGGUCAUGAUUGUUUUGGCAGUUUGGGUGGCGUUUUGUCCCCUGGUAGCAGCUGAAGUUUAUCAGUAGGUUUAGCCUUUGCACUUUGAGAAACCAACUAUUAUCUCACCCACAAUUUAGAAUAAUAAAAAAGUCCAUGGCAGCAAAACGUGCAGUAAGUAAAGAUAAAGAACAAAUGAGGGAGAAUCUGGUGUUCCUGUUGACAUCGGCCCCCAGAGCCUACAUUCUAUACUUGGUCUGAUAGAGUCAGCAGGAAAGCUCCUCCUGCAUUCUCUUUCUUUCUGGCAUUAACUUCAAAUGAAGAAAUCUUUUAGAGGGCAGCUGGGAGUAGAGAAAUAAUGUGAUAACUUUAGUGACUAAUUUAGAUUCAGUUGCUUCCUGAAGUGACCUGUCAUAGAGACAUUUAGGUUGAGGAAGACCAAUAAUCUUCAUUCUGGAAGCUUGUCUCCUCCUUGGGAGCUGUAAUCAAAGCAGCUAAAAGAUUGAAUAAGGCCUCUAUAGUAGUUGCUGCAAUGACCGGAAGACCCAGGGGACUGGAGGUCAGGGAUCCUGCCUGGAGGCUUCCCAAACCUGGAGGGACACUACCUGGAUUUCUGAUUUGGUUCUAAGCCUCAGAUUCUAUAAACCUACGCAUUGUAGCAGGAUUCUCUUUGUAACAUUUUGCCCUGAGGAAUGUCCAAGACUAAAAAGCACGUAACUAAAAAAUAAAAAAAGUCACAUUGCAAAUCUUACGUUAAAUAUCCAAAGCUAUGGAAAAAUAACAUUUACAGUGUCAUUCAAAUUGUCUAACAUAAUAAACAAUAAAUGUUCAAAAAAAUUGUCUAACAUU
This is a long non-coding RNA of Canis lupus familiaris (dog), 1530 nucleotides long. RefSeq lists it as uncharacterized. NCBI's taxonomy places the organism in Eukaryota, Metazoa, Chordata, Mammalia, Carnivora, Canidae. The transcript has 3 exons. The record is from RefSeq and is a predicted model, not a curated record.